GAGCAAGUGGUUUUGGCUGUUCGGCCCUCUGAAUGAAUUGGGGUGGCUCCAGAAGGCACAGCUGCUUUCGAGUCCUUCUCUGCAGAUUGAUAUGGGUCUGCUGCUGCUCAGGUGGCUACGACCACCAUCAAACUGGCCACUGCAGAGAAGUUAUUUAGGGCAGCAGUUAGGAGAACAAUGUGUCUGAGCCACAGAAACAAGCCAGGGAGUCCUUUUUGCAGGGGCUAUGCCGGCUGCAAAUCAAAGCCUCUGCUGGCAGGGGGGUGGAUGGCUUACAGUGAUGUCUGCAGCCAUGGUUUGACAGCAACUGAUAUGAUGCCUCAGCAGUUUUAUUAGCAAAAGCAGAAAAUUCAGUAUAAAUAUCCCCAUCCUAUUGCCACUUUAGCUUCCUACAAUAAUCCUUCCCAUCUACAUCAAUGGCAUUGAGGAAUUUGCUCCCUGCUUCAUUUGCUUCCCUGCUGUGCUCUGGUACAUGAUUCAGAGCAGACCUGUCCUGCCAUGUAUGCUUCACACCACUCCAUCCCGACAGACUGAACAGUGAUGGAAACAACUCCAGGAGAGCCCGUCCUACCUGGGAAAGUACAUGUAUUUCUGCAGGGCUGCAAAGCUCUGCAUUAUCCCCCAGGUUACAUUUGGCUUUGAAAAGCCACCCACUGCCUCAUAAAGGCUGCGCCAACUAUGCAUCCUCCAGCUGGAAACACUUCCUGGGUUCCUGGUUUUCACCAUGAGAAACCUCCACGUGAAUCCCCCCCGGAGCAGGCUUGUCCUGCAGAGUCAACCUGCAUCUGCUUCUUCCUUGACUUUGUCAGCUGGUGGGAUUUAUGGUGUUGGUACCCCACAGGAACUGGAGAAAAGCUGUAAUUUGUUCAUGGUGCAAGGCACUGUACAAAUGCAGAAUGCAGGAAAACAAGAAGAGGCCAGCUGGUGCUGAGCUGGGUGUAUCAGCAACCACUCACAUUUUUCUUGUAUUUAUUUUUAUCAUAGAGAAGGGUUUUUUUGUUCCUGAGUCAGGGGGAGACUGUCUAAAGUACUGCUGGUAUUUGCUUCACUACCUUCCUAUGGAAUGAAGCAGAAGAAAGCAAUGAACUGGAGAGUAACGCAUACCCAUGAACUGAAGCUACUUCAGGAGGAGGUACCUGAGACCCGAGACUGCAGAGAGGUGCUCUUGUACCUGGUGAAUCGGCUGAAGCACCAGCACUGGCAAACAGCUGGAGAGGUGGCUCCAGCCUUCCCUUACUUCUUUCUAAACCCUUCCUCUUGGCUCCCUUCUCUCACCAUGGCCAUGGGCUGAGAUCACAUCAGGACUUAUGCUCCACGUGGGCUCAGGUACUGCUUCUUGGCACUGCAGACUUCAAACCAGGGGCUAAGGAGUCCCUCCUAUCUGUCCCCAUUUCAAGCCUUAUCGCAUCCCUGGAGCAGCAUCUCCAGCUCGGGGGAAGAGGAACAGGCCAAAACACAAGGGUGGGAGGGACGUGGGAAGUUUGGAUUGGACGGGCGAAGUGAACCUUUGCCUUGACUUUCAUGCUAGGCAUCUAUUGCCAAAAGGGAUGAAUAAUGUUUAUGCAUGAAUUAUCAACACAGAGAAUCCCUGAAGCAACAAGUCGCUCCCCGCUGGCUGGUGAAUGUUUUCACAGUGGCUUGCAGCUGGGCGCAGCACCCCUGGAGCAGUGCUAAAGACAGGCAGAGUUUUAAGCUGGUUGGAAAUUGUCACCAGCAGGCUCUCGUGGAGACACAGGACAUCUCUCUAGCUCUCUUUUUCAGCUGGGGGGGCAUGCUAAGCAUUUUGUGCUGCUGUUUUCACAGGCUCUCUGAUGUGCACAUACUGAGAGAUCCUACCACGGGGAUCAGACAGACACUUUGUUCAAGUCUGCAGAUGAAGUGGUGAGAAAUUAUUAAGAGGAUUAGCUGCUGGUCCAAAUACAUGUCUGCUGGAGCAGCCAAAAUACUGCUAGACGCAGGGAGAAAAAAAUGUAUUAGUUCAUACUCUCUUUUGUAUUGUCUAUGGUUUCAUAAUUGAGGAGUUCAGAGUUCAUGGGGGAGCUAAACCAGUGCAGCAGCAAAAAGGGUAGAUUCCUGUAGCAGACCCUUGAAAGAAAAGAAAGCCAGGCAUGUUAUCAAAAUGUGCUUUUAAAUCCAUGCAAGUUACCAAAAAGAACCAAAACCUGACAAGCACUCUGAAGGGUCAGGCCAGCCCCACCCUGACCAGGGGGCCUGGCAGCCAUUUUAGGGAGGGCUGAGCUGACCUGAUCUGCCAUUUUCUGAGGCCCUGAAUAUAUGAGCAGAAAGCUCAAAGAGAGCUCUAUCAUAUUUUGGCUGGACUGGAACAAGUCCCUGGCCUCCCAGAAGAGGCUUCAGCACCUCUUUUGCCCACCUUUCUGCCAUCCUGCUGCAAUCUCCCCCUUCAGGCCUGGGAUAUAUUUGCUCAGGACCUUGCCCCCUAACCCAGCAAUAUUAUUCUGAAGCCUUUUACUUCUGAGUCAGUCUUUAUUUCUUCUUGUUUUAUGUGAUAUACAGACAAAAGUGUAAUUUAUUCAAGUUCCUGCAGUGGUUCUUGCCAGAAUAAAGAGAAGUAAGAGCUGUCCAGUUGCAUGACUGCUCACUACAGGCCUGGGACCCCAAAUGUCCAUUCCCUUAAGGACAAGUGGAGAUAUUUAGAUUCCAUGUUUAGUUUAACCUGUGGCUACAAAAGAAUAAUAAUUCAGAUUUUGGCUGACACUCCAGAGUUGAAAAUCUAAAAGUUUUUCUUAAUAAAGCUUUGCAUACAUAUGAAGCUGUGCAGUGAACAUAAAUUACAGGAGAAAAUUGAUUUGGACAUUAGAAACAGUAGAAAGGCAAGGAAGCACUGAUGGUGUUAGCUGUGGGAUCUGCUAUGGGAAUCUGUGGGAAUGGGUUUAGAUCUCAUCUUGAGGCAACAGAAGGUGCUAUGGGAGUCCUGGGAUUGUUUUCAGCCAUUUUCUAUGAUUCUGUGCCAAAUUUUCCCUGGGUGCGAUUUUUUUUUCUCUACUUCUGCUCCUAGUGAUUCUGUUACUCUCUCUUGACAAAGCAUAGGCUGAGGCAGUUACUUUCUUAGGAAGGUGAAAAUAUCUCCAUAUGUUAAUCUGUAGUCCUGAAUUCCUUUGGGAUGACCCUAAUGAUAUAAAUACAGCUAUGAUUUAUUAUCCUCUGUGCUUAACACAUAGAUGUCCCACUGUACUCUUUGUUUGGAGUUCAUUCACGCCAUGCCCAUGCAUCACUUGCUGCUAACAAACUUGUUGAUUCUGGAUUUGAAUUCACAAUGUUCAAGGGAUCGGCUGUCUUUGCAGCCUCGUACAGUUUUCUUCAUCAGCCCUUUGACUCCCUCUGGAUUUAUUUUGUGGAUAUAAAUAAAGCUUAUUCUGCAGUUCUUUUAAGUGAGCUAAAUAUAAGUGGGGAGAAAAAGCAACAGACUUAGAAGCACAGAGAAUGCAAGAAAAAACCUCUCGCUGAAUUGUCAGGACUCCUCUGUUUUUAUACCAAAGCUCUGCUUGUCUGAACUCAUGACCAUUACCCUGAUCAUGAUGGAAACAGGCUACAUGUUCCAAGUGUAUCAGAAUUAAUGAUCAGCUGCUGCAAAAAGAUGGACACUAUUUCUUAGUCUUAGCCUGCCUGGUGCAAAGUUGUUUUCCAGCAUAUGGGGUGUUUUUAUGAAUCUGUGAGUAAUGUGAUGUCUGUCAGAAUUAUUUGUAUUAUCACUAUUAAUUGUAGCUACCCAACUGCCGUUUUAACUGUCUGAUGGGAUGCAGCAGUAUCUUUGCGGCAUGAGAUCAUGACAGCUACGGAAAGGUGGAGGAGAAAAGUUUCCAGAUCUCAUGAAAAAAACACUGGAAUUAAUCCUCAUCCUGCUGAAGUCAGAUUUCAAAUGAUCUGAUGUCCACACAGGCCUUCCUUCAAGUCCAUAGGACUUUCCUGGAUCUAUAAAUGUUCAUUUUCCAGUACUGAGCUAUAUUCAAUCCUUGGGUGUCCAGAGAGAGACUUUGCAAGACAAUAACUGUUUGAAAAUUUCCAAGUAAUGGUAUUUGAAAUCUCCUCCUUAUCCUGAAAAACAAACAAAUAAAUAAAUAAAUAAACUGUUUAAUCAAAAGGAAGAAUUGAAUUAAAAUGAUAAGGAUGAAAUGACUCUUCAGCAGGUCAUGUAGGGUAUAAUUUGUUUCUUGGCUCAGCCUGGUUCAGUGAAUUCUCCUGCAUUCAAUCGUUCAGUUAGUUCUGAGUAUUUACAGCAGCUUUGCAGUGUAUCGUAGCUAUUGCAGUACUAAGGUUUAAACUGAUAAUUAGAAGUACCUGAGGCUUUCUGUUUUUGGUUUUCCUACUCACAUUUGGAGGGUGUGAGGGGUAAAAGGCAAACUUGGACAUUUGAAUUUCUCUCCUGGAAUGGUGCUGCUUAAAAAUUUGCUUAAUCUUAUCAGCCUGGCAGGACUCU
Anas platyrhynchos (mallard) is the source of this 4435-nucleotide long non-coding RNA. RefSeq lists it as uncharacterized. The record is from RefSeq and is a predicted model, not a curated record. Lineage: Eukaryota; Metazoa; Chordata; Aves; Anseriformes; Anatidae.